This is a long non-coding RNA of Mauremys mutica (yellowpond turtle), 1133 nucleotides long. RefSeq lists it as uncharacterized. The transcript has 4 exons. NCBI's taxonomy places the organism in Eukaryota, Metazoa, Chordata, Testudines, Geoemydidae. The record is from RefSeq and is a predicted model, not a curated record.
CCUACCCAGCCCUCCAUACAGUUUUGAAACCCAGAUGUGGCCCUCCGGCCAAAAAGUUUACCCACCCCUGUUCUAAGGGAUGGUAGUAGGGAGAGCAGCAGAAUAAAGAUAAUGGAUUUCAAAAAGGCCAAUUUUAGCAAACUCAGGAAGUUGCACCCAUUGCCAUGGUAUAUAAGUGCCUGACCAAGAAAAACUGCCGAGUAUCUCCAUAAGUCCCUAUCUGAUACUUGAAGCUUAGCUCAAGUCCACUGAACAACCUUUCUAUGAGCCUGGCCCAAGCCUUGUGUUUGAAAUGAAACCUGGAACCGGGCUGAAUUAUCUCUUCGGGAAUGAACGAGGAUUCAAAAUGGAGACUCAUUUUUGGGUGAAAUGUAACAAGAAUUUGGUGAUCACAGUAUCCGACAAAUGACAUCUUUCCCCCUAGGUCACCAACAUUUCAAUUUAAAUCUGCAGAAAAUCAAUUUUGGGAGAAAAUGGAGCUGUGACUGGUAGAAAGACAAGCCAGAAAACAGCGUUACAUUUAAUCUACUCCUUCCAUGUCAGCAUCUAGUGUUUGCUCCGUGGGCUGAUCUUGAGCAGGCUGCUCUGCUGGGGCUCCUUCACAUUUUUCAGUAGAUUUCGGAGCAAGACUCAGCGGCCCAGAGGGAUUCCCUGCCUCUGGCUGCGGGGUGGGAUGGAAAGGAAGCCCUGGCUCUGUGAGACAAAGAGAACUGCAUGCUUGAAGGUCAGCUGGCUCUGGAUUACUGUUCUCACUGGAGACUGUGAGGGGAUCCUGCACGUGAUGGGUCACCAUGAAUGCUGCAGCUAGAUUCUUCAGGAUGUUCUCAUCAAUAAUGGACAGCUCUGCACUAUCCUGUUCAGUAACAGAACGGCUUGCAUCAGCCUCUUUUCCCAAGAUGUCAUCAUUUUGAUCCUCCUCAUCCUCCUCUUCCUCAUUAGUGAAUUUUGCUUCUUUAAUUUUUUUGUACAGUUCAUUCCUCUCUUCCUGCAGCGCUCUGCAAAGGUUCUCUAGCCUCUGGAUUUUCAGCACAAAGCACUCGUACUCCUUAGCCCUCAUUGCUUUCUGUGAUCAAAUCAAAAUCAGGCAAAGAUGUAGGAAAAUGGAGUUCAUAUUCAUGAGGUUCACACACGUA